RNAcentral lists this ribosomal RNA (450 nucleotides) under uncultured bacterium. Its description in RNAcentral is "bacterial SSU rRNA". It matches the Rfam family "Bacterial small subunit ribosomal RNA", at positions 354 to 796 of the family's 1533-position model. The record is from RNAcentral.
GUGGGGAAUAUUGGACAAUGGGCGAAAGCCUGAUCCAGCCAUGCCGCGUGUGUGAAGAAGGUCUUCGGAUUGUAAAGCACUUUAAGUUGGGAGGAAGGGCAGUAAGUUAAUACCUUGCUGUUUUGACGUUACCGACAGAAUAAGCACCGGCUAACUUCGUGCCAGCAGCCGCGGUAAUACGAAGGGUGCAAGCGUUAAUCGGAAUUACUGGGCGUAAAGCGCGCGUAGGUGGUUUUGUAAGUUGGAGGUGAAAUGCCCGGGCUCAACCUGGGAACUGCCUCCAAAACUGCAUGACUAGAGUACGGUAGAGGGUAGUGGAAUUUCCUGUGUAGCGGUGAAAUGCGUAGAUAUAGGAAGGAACACCAGUGGCGAAGGCGACUACCUGGACUGAUACUGACACUGAGGUGCGAAAGCGUGGGGAGCAAACAGGAUUAGAUACCCUAGUAGUCC